This 1025-nucleotide long non-coding RNA is filed under the name Homo sapiens (human). RNAcentral's name for it is "long non-coding RNA NONHSAT154348". The record is from RNAcentral. Lineage: Eukaryota; Metazoa; Chordata; Mammalia; Primates; Hominidae.
GAAAAAUAUUGGGCAGCCAGACAAAUAUGGCAAAUGCCCACUACAAAUUCUUUUGAGAAUCUCAUGAAAUUCUUGUACUCUGUCAACAGAAAAAAGCAAAAAUACUCAUUCUCAACUUUUGUUGUUGCUGUUGUUAAAUAUGGACAUAUAGAACUUACUCUUGCAAUCUCAGAGCAGUAGAUACAUAAAAAGCACAUUCUAAGAUAUAAUUUUCUUAAACAUUUAGUGAGUAAAUAGUCUGAAGCAACUCUAGUGAAAAUAUCCUUUGUCCUCCUUUUCUCUGGCACCUUGAAGUUCUGGGAGGCAUUCUUACUUUCUUUUCUCAAAAGAUUUCUUAGAUCAAUUUGACUUCUUUUCCUGCCAUUUUAGCACCUUAAUCCCUCUAUCCUUUACAGAUUAAACUCUUUUCUAUAAGCUCUCUUGAUUCAUUGACCCUCCCACAACGCUACUAUUUCAGUAAUAUUCCUUUAAAAAUUGUGGCUUAUUCCUUUUAUUCACAAGACAAAGAAGUGGAGAGGAGGCAAAGAUGAAACACUGCAAUGCUCUAGCAAGAGAUCAGAGAGAUAGCAUUCAUGGAAUUUUAAAAAUAUAUUGAUCAGUGUGUGUACCUAGGUCAAGAGUUACUCAGUUAUACGAUAAGAUAGUAUUAAGAUGUAAGCAUAUUAUAUUAUGCAAUAUUUUUUGCAUACAAAGUACUAUGUAUAAUAUGCAUGUAAGAUCUAAAACAUAUUAAAAUUUACACCUAUUAGCGUACCAUUCAAUUUAAACCUGGAAUAUUAAUGAUAAGUUUGCCAGCACCUGUAUGUUCCUCGAUUUCCCAUUUUCUUGCCUCUAGUUAAAUGUGGUUGUUUAUCAAAAAUUACCUUUCUAUCGUAGUUUUAUCAUAAAUUGCAUAAGUUUUUAUCAAUGUAUUUUUUAUUGUGUUUGAUUUUUAGCCUUUUACAAAUGGCAUCUUACUUUACUCAUCUAGAAUUGACCAUUCUCACACAGCAUUGCAUAUUUUAGGCUCAGUAACGUUGUUUUAG